RNAcentral lists this ribosomal RNA (372 nucleotides) under uncultured organism. Its description in RNAcentral is "bacterial SSU rRNA". It matches the Rfam family "Bacterial small subunit ribosomal RNA", at positions 526 to 896 of the family's 1533-position model. The record is from RNAcentral.
CGAAGGGUGCAAGCGUUACUCGGAAUUACUGGGCGUAAAGCGUGCGUAGGUGGUGCGUUAAGUCUGUCGUGAAAGCCCCGGGCUCAACCUGGGAAUGGCGAUGGAUACUGGCGCGCUAGAGUGCGGUAGAGGAGAGUGGAAUUCCCGGUGUAGCAGUGAAAUGCGUAGAGAUCGGGAGGAACAUCAGUUGCGAAGGCGGCUCUCUGGACCAACACUGACACUGAGGCACGAAAGCGUGGGGAGCAAACAGGAUUAGAUACCCUGGUAGUCCACGCCCUAAACGAUGCGAACUGGACGUUGGGAGCAACUAGGCUCUCAGUGUCGAAGCUAACGCGUUAAGUUCGCCGCCUGGGGAGUACGGUCGCAAGACUG